CUAAGCAUAUCAAUAAKCGGAGGAAAAGARAYCAACAGGGAUUGCCCUAGUAACGGCGAGUGAAGCGGCAAUAGCUCAAAUUUGAAAUCUGGCCUUCGGGUCCGAGUUGUAAUUUGUAGAGGAUGCUUUUGGUGCGGUGCCUUCCGAGUUCCCUGGAACGGGACGCCUUAGAGGGUGAGAGCCCCGUACGGUUGGACACUAAGCCUCUGUAAAGCUCCUUCGACGAGUCGAGUAGUUUGGGAAUGCUGCUCUAAAUGGGAGGUAAAUUUCUUCUAAAGCUAAAUAUUGGCCAGAGACCGAUAGCGCACAAGUAGAGUGAUCGAAAGAUGAAAAGCACUUUGAAAAGAGGGUUAAAUAGCACGUGAAAUUGUUGAAAGGGAAGCGUUUGCGACCAGACCUUUUCCUGGCGGAUCAUCCGGUGUUCUCACCGGUGCACUUCGCCAGGUUUAGGCCAGCAUCGGUUUCCGCAGAGGGAUAAAAGCUCUGGGAACGUAGCUCCUUCGGGAGUGUUAUAGCCCUCUGCAUAAUACCUUUGUGGGGACCGAGGACCGCGCUUCGGCAAGGAUGCUGGCGUAAUGGUCGUCAACGACCCGUCUUGAAACACGGACCAAGGAGUCGAACAUUUGUGCGAGUGUUUGGGUGUUAAACCCUCACGCGUAAUGAAAGUGAACGGAGGUGAGAGCCUUUACGGGUGCAUCAUCGACCGAUCCUGAUGUCUUCGGAUGGAUUUGAGUAAGAGCAUAACUGUUCGGACCCGAAAGAUGGUGAACUAUGCGUGGAUAGGGUGAAGCCAGAGGAAACUCUGGUGGAGGCUCGCAGCGGUUCUGACGUGCAAAUCGAUCGUCAAAUCUGCGCAUGGGGGCGAAAGACUUAUCGAACCMUYUWGUARCUGGUUACCGCCGA
This 903-nucleotide ribosomal RNA is filed under the name Xylaria feejeensis. Its description in RNAcentral is "partial large subunit ribosomal RNA". The record is from RNAcentral. Lineage: Eukaryota; Fungi; Ascomycota; Sordariomycetes; Xylariales; Xylariaceae.